RNAcentral lists this ribosomal RNA (465 nucleotides) under uncultured bacterium. RNAcentral describes it as "partial 16S ribosomal RNA". It matches the Rfam family "Bacterial small subunit ribosomal RNA", at positions 28 to 507 of the family's 1533-position model. The record is from RNAcentral.
GACGAACGCUGGCGGCGUGCUUAACACAUGCAAGUCGAACGGAAAGGCCCUGCUUGCAGGGUACUCGAGUGGCGAACGGGUGAGUAACACGUGGGUGAUCUGCCCUGCACUUCGGGAUAAGCCUGGGAAACUGGGUCUAAUACCGGAUAGGAGCCAUUUUUAGUGUGAUGGUUGGAAAGUUUUUUCGGUGUAGGAUGAGCUCGCGGCCUAUCAGCUUGUUGGUGGGGUAAUGGCCUACCAAGGCGGCGACGGGUAGCCGGCCUGAGAGGGUGGACGGCCACAUUUGGACUGGGGUACGGCCCAGACUCCUACGGGAGGCAGCAGUGGGGAAUAUUGCACAAUGGGCGGAAGCCUGAUGCAGCGACGCCGCGUGGGGGAUGACGGCCUUCGGGUUGUAAACUCCUUUCGCUAGGGACGAAGCUGUUUGUGACGGUACCUAGAUAAGAAGCACCGGCUAACUACGUG